AGCUGAGUGGCUCAGUGUAUUGAGAGCCAGGCCUAGAAACUGGAGAUCCUAGGUUCAAACCUGGCCUCAGCCA
Molecule: transfer RNA, 73 nt
Filed under: Monodelphis domestica (gray short-tailed opossum)
Lineage: Eukaryota; Metazoa; Chordata; Mammalia; Didelphimorphia; Didelphidae
Rfam family: tRNA
About the family: Transfer RNA (tRNA) molecules are approximately 80 nucleotides in length. Their secondary structure includes four short double-helical elements and three loops (D, anti-codon, and T loops).
Source: Rfam by way of RNAcentral